RNAcentral lists this ribosomal RNA (218 nucleotides) under uncultured bacterium. Its description in RNAcentral is "partial 16S ribosomal RNA". It matches the Rfam family "Bacterial small subunit ribosomal RNA", at positions 318 to 537 of the family's 1533-position model. The record is from RNAcentral.
GCUCCGAAUUCGCCCUUCCUACGGGAGGCAGCAGUGGGGAAUUUUGCACAAUGCCCGAAAGGGUGAUGCAGCAACGCCGCGUGAGGGAUGAAGGCCCUCGGGACGUAAACCUCUUUCGAUCGGGAAAAACGGACGGGUGAAGAGCCCGCUCUGAUGGUACCGGAUGAAGAAGCCCCGGCCAACUACGUGCCAGCAGCCGCGGUAAUAAGGGCGAAUUC